AGGUAGACACUGAAUUCAUAGAGCAGACAAAGAAAGCAUGGGAGGUUAGCUCUGAGUUCCAAGAAUAAAGUAAAGCCAAGUGCCUUCAUGAAGCCCCCAUAAUGUUUGUAAUAAAGCUCACCACUGGGCUUUCUGGCCUCAGUUUCUUCAUCUGCAGAAUCCAUGGGCUAGCCGUGAUUAUACUUAAGGCUAAUACUUUACCCUGAAUAUUCAGGUUCUAGGUAUAUGCUUCAUUAAAACUAUCUAGGGCCUCAGAAGUUUAGAAUUCUGAUUUCGCAAAAUUCUGAUAAAAAAUAAAAUGUGUGAACAUGAGGGCAGCAAUCUUGGUAAUAAGGAAAAGCCUGGGGUAGGGCUGGAAACCUCGUAGGCACAGAGGCCCUCCAAGAGGUCCCUUCCCAUUGAUCGGGCCGGGCUAGGGCAGUCACAGCGUGCUGGUCUGGUGGAGUUUAUGCAGCAACACAAACAAGAAACGCAGCAGCAGGGACAGAAAAUCCCCAUGAAGUCUGCCUUCUGCAACUAACUCUCGGUCCACCCCUCUCCACAUCUUGGUCUUCCCUUCCCAACCCCAUUCACAUCCUUCCAGGGGAGAACGUGCAAGAAAUUUCUCCUUUCCUGCAAGCAAAGGAAUCCAGUAGUGCCACCUUGGUCAGAAUGGCCCUUUGUUCUGCUGUUUAAUGACUAAUUAUGAUGCUAUGAGAGGCAUACACAACUCUGGCAGAGCCAGGCCCUCCUGCUCCAGCAGGGCUGAGCGGCUGGAAGUGUGUAAUCUUCGGAAAGCUGUGACUGCGACCUGGAGUUGCGUAAGAAAUAAUUACAGAAUCCAGCCAGGGCUUGCUUCUUGCCACAGGCUCCAGGCUUUUACCCCCGACAUGUGUUCUGGUGAAUGGAGUGAGAUGAGGACUGGGUUUGAGAAGAUUUUGUUGGCUCCACAUGGUUUUGCAAAUCAACCUGCUGCUCCAGUGAUGACAUGCUGCUGAGGGAAGGUUUGGUGGUUCCUGGGAAGUUGAAAGGAUCUGGGCAAGCUUUUUAUUGCUGACUGUGUGCAACUGCCGCAAGGGGUCAAAAGUGCUUGGUUUGCACAACAUCUCCCCGGCAUUCUUACACGUGUGGUUAUGGAAUCAGGGUGCAGGGAAGGGUCAUGGAGCAGAGGGAAUUGCAUGUGCUCGAUCUUUUUCACAUUGGAGCUGCUUUCUGAAACCCGGCACGGGGAAGGUGAGGGUGCUGGAUAGUUUGGGGGGGCCACAGAGUCCUGUGGGUGUUAAAUCUCGGUCCCCCUCUGGGGACUUGUCCUUGCAGGGUGCUCAUCCAGGCCUUAAAAGUUGGCAGCAUCCCCCAGGAACUACCCUGUGAACAAAUCCAGGCUUUCGGAAGCACGUGAUUCUGCAGAAAUGCCACAUUCUCUUCCACAUGGGCUGUGGGCUCUGAGUCCCCCUUUGCUUCCUCGGCCUAUGUACCUGCUGAAGAAGACAGUUGUGUCGUGUACAUGCAACCUAAGGAGGUAACCUUUUACCCAGCCUGAGACUUCAGAGGGUAUUCAUAUUGGGGACCAGCAGCCCGUGAUGUUUGUCCCCCAGAGAGGGGGAGAGAGCUGCUGCCUGCAGAGUGGCUGCUCCUGCUUUGCACGGCCCCUGGCUUCUGCAUCCCUCCAUCCUCCAGCUGGGCACAGAGGUUGCCAAAAGGGCCAGUAGGAGGAGAAGGCUUCAUGGAGGACGGGGGCAAGAGCGGGCCGACCAUGCUGGCUUCCUCGCCUUGUGUCUGGCUGACUGCACAGGCCUGAGGAGGUAACCAACAGCAGAAACAGCUCUGGACAAAUGAGCAAAGGAAGACUCGACUGAGUUUCCCCAGAAUGGAGAGGAGCUGAGGAAGCUCCAGGGCCCACAGCGGAAGCUGGUGGACCAUUUCACUAGGACCCUGGGAGCAAAUCAGUCUGACUUGUGUUUGGCCCCUGAAUCCCCCUGCUCAAGGCUCAGAGUCCUGGAGAAUUGAGGGCAACCCCCACAUUGCAUGCCAUGGAUGGUGGCUUCCCCAGGGGAGUCGGGGUGCUAGGACUAGAGCAUGCCUCCUACAAAUGUUGACUUCCCCAGAAAAAUACCAGCUCUCUUAAGUAAGGGUGGGUCUAUCUGUGGGGAUGAUAGGGUCACCCUUAUUAUUCAUACGUUCCCUGGGCCUGAGAACUUACCUGGAAUACACUUUGUUAAAUAGUAAUA
RNAcentral lists this long non-coding RNA (2207 nucleotides) under Homo sapiens (human). RNAcentral describes it as "HSALNT0331624". The record is from RNAcentral. Lineage: Eukaryota; Metazoa; Chordata; Mammalia; Primates; Hominidae.